This 231-nucleotide ribosomal RNA is filed under the name uncultured bacterium. Its description in RNAcentral is "partial 16S ribosomal RNA". It matches the Rfam family "Bacterial small subunit ribosomal RNA", at positions 107 to 334 of the family's 1533-position model. The record is from RNAcentral.
UGAGUAACACGUAUGCAAUCCACCUGUAACAGGGGGAUAACCCGGAGAAAUCCGGACUAAUACCCCAUAAUAUGGGCGCUCCGCAUGGAGAGUUCAUUAAAGAGAGCAAUUUUGGUUACAGACGAGCAUGCGCUCCAUUAGCCAGUUGGCGGGGUAACGGCCCACCAAGGCGACGAUGGAUAGGGGUUCUGAGAGGAAGGUCCCCCACAUUGGAACUGAGACACGGUCCAA